ACUCCUACGGGAGGCAGCAGUGGGGAAUAUUGCACAAUGGGGAAACCCGUAGCAUGCAGCCAUGCCGCGUGUGUGAAGAAGGCCUUCGGGUUGUAAAGUACUUUCAGCAGUGAGGAAGGUAGUGUAGUUAAUAGCUGCAUUAUUUGACGUUAGCUGCAGAAGAAGCACCGGCUAACUCCGUGCCAGCAGCCGCGGUAAUACGGAGGGUGCGAGCGUUAAUCGGAAUUACUGGGCGUAAAGCGCAUGCAGGUGGUUUGUUAAGUCAGAUGUGAAAGCCCGGGGCUCAACCUCGGAAUAGCAUUUGAAACUGGCAGACUAGAGUACUGUAGAGGGGUGG
Molecule: ribosomal RNA, 337 nt
Filed under: uncultured bacterium
Lineage: Bacteria
Description: bacterial SSU rRNA
Rfam family: Bacterial small subunit ribosomal RNA
Source: RNAcentral